Molecule: ribosomal RNA, 441 nt
Filed under: uncultured bacterium
Lineage: Bacteria
Description: partial 16S ribosomal RNA
Rfam family: Bacterial small subunit ribosomal RNA
Source: RNAcentral
CCUACGGGUGGCAGCAGUGGGGAAUAUUGCGCAAUGGGGGCAACCCUGACGCAGCAACGCCGCGUGAUUGAAGACGGCCUUCGGGUUGUAAAGAUCUUUAAUCGGGGACGAAUUUUGACGGUACCCGAAGAAUAAGCUCCGGCUAACUACGUGCCAGCAGCCGCGGUAAUACGUAGGGAGCAAGCGUUAUCCGGAUUUACUGGGUGUAAAGGGCGUGUAGGCGGGCAUGCAAGCCAGAAGUGAAAUCUGGGGGCUUAACCCCCAAACUGCUUUUGGAACUGCGUGUCUUGAGUGAUGGAGAGGCAGGCGGAAGUCCCAGUGUAGCGGUGAAAUGCGUAGAUAUUGGGAGGAACACCAGUGGCGAAGGCAGCUUACCAAACUACGACUGACGUUGAGGCACGAAAGCGUGGGGAGCAAACAGGAUUAGAUACCCUUGUAGUC